GAAGCCUGCCAGGCCGUCGCUGGUGCAUGUCCCGAAAGGGCGCACUGGAGGAACGUCCGGACUGCACAGGGCAGCGUAGGAGGUAACACCUCUCCACCGAAAGCCGCAAGGUAUAAGGUGAGGAUCAGAGCAACAGAGACGAGCCGAUUGAGUUCGGGUGAAACGGGCAAUCUCUACGCGCAGCAACACCAAAUAGGCACACGAUGAUGCGGCCCGCGGAGUGUGCGGGUAGGUGGCACCGAGCCGGGUGGGUGACCCCCGGCCCAGAUGAAUGACGGUCACGCCCCGGGUCACCGGGGUGCACAGAAUCCGGCGUAUCGGCGGGCUUCACAC
This 333-nucleotide RNase P RNA is filed under the name Tibeticola sediminis. Its description in RNAcentral is "Bacterial RNase P class A". It matches the Rfam family "Bacterial RNase P class A". Rfam says of the family: Ribonuclease P (RNase P) is a ubiquitous endoribonuclease, found in archaea, bacteria and eukarya as well as chloroplasts and mitochondria. RNAcentral also lists the same sequence under 2 other names. Lineage: Bacteria; Pseudomonadati; Pseudomonadota; Betaproteobacteria; Burkholderiales; Comamonadaceae. The record is from Rfam by way of RNAcentral.